AGCAGCCGCGGUAAUUCCAGCUCCAAUAGCGUAUAUUAAAGUUGUUGCAGUUAAAAAGCUCGUAGUUGAAUUUCGGGAUUGACGUGAUGGUCGUGCCUUACGGGGUAUGAACUGUUGCAGUCAAUUUCUCACCUUCUGGAGAAAUAUGAUGUCCUUAAUUGGGUGUCAUAUGGAACCAGAACUUUUACCUUGAAAAAUUAGAGUGUUUAAAGCAGGCUUAUUGCUCGAAUACAUUAGCAUGGAAUAAUAAAAUAGGACGGCAUGGUUCUAUUUUGUUGGUUUCUAGGAUCACCGUAAUGAUUAAUAGGGAUAGUUGGGGGCAUUAGUAUUCAAUUGUCAGAGGUGAAAUUCUUGGAUUUAUUGAAGACUAACUACUGCGAAAGCAUUUGCCAAGGAUGUUUUCAUUAAUCAAGAACGAAAGUUAGGGGAUCGAAGACGAUCAGAUACCGUCGUAGUCUUAACCAUAAACUAUGCCGACUAGGAAUCAGACGAUGUUAAUUUUUAAUGACUCGUUUGGCUA
This 520-nucleotide unclassified non-coding RNA is filed under the name uncultured Entrophospora. RNAcentral describes it as "SSU rRNA". It matches the Rfam family "Eukaryotic small subunit ribosomal RNA", at positions 569 to 1086 of the family's 1831-position model. Lineage: Eukaryota; Fungi; Glomeromycota; Glomeromycetes; Entrophosporales; Entrophosporaceae. The record is from RNAcentral.